GAUGAACGCUGGCGGCGUGCCUAAUACAUGCAAGUCGAGCGAACGGACGAGAAGCUUGCUUCUCUGAUGUUAGCGGCGGACGGGGGAGUAACACGUGGAUAACCUACCUAUAAGACUGGGAUAACUUCGGGAAACCGGAGCUAAUACCGGAUGAUAUUUUGAACCGCAUGGUUCAAAAGUGAAAGACGGUCUUGCUGUCACUUAUAGAUGGAUCCGCGCUGCAUUAGCUAGUUGGUAAGGUAACGGCUUACCAAGGCAACGAUGCAUAGCCGACCUGAGGGGGUGAUCGGCCACACUGGAACUGAGACACGGCCCCGACUCCUACGGGAGGCAGCAGUAGGGAAUCUUCCGCAAUGGGCGAAAGCCUGACGGAGCAACGCCGCGUGAGUGAUGAAGGUCUUCGGAUCGUAAAACUCUGUUAUUAGGGAAGAACAUAUGUGUAAGUAACUGUGCACAUAUUGACGGUACCUAAUCAGAAAGCCACGGCUAACUACGUG
RNAcentral lists this ribosomal RNA (497 nucleotides) under uncultured bacterium. Its description in RNAcentral is "partial 16S ribosomal RNA". It matches the Rfam family "Bacterial small subunit ribosomal RNA", at positions 28 to 507 of the family's 1533-position model. The record is from RNAcentral.